GCCCUCCCCGCGCCCCCUCCCGCGGGGUGCAGUGGAACGUCCCUGCCUUGCGCAAAGCUGCCGGCGGGCCUUGUGAAAUGUGUUACCAAGUUGUUGGAAGUAGUAGCUGUUUUCUAUUUCAGAAAGUUAUGGGCCACUUUAGAAGCAGGUAACUCAUGACACUGGAAUGCAGAACUCCCAGACAAGGUGGGCUGUUUUGCAGAGGGCAGGCAGUGCAGUGAAAGACACAUUACAGGAGCGAUCUGGCAUGUAUCUGCACAGGCUAACAAACUGGUGUUUCAAAAUACAAGAUCAAUAUGUUCUUUGGGUAUUUAUUAUUAUUAUUAGAAGUGUCACAUUCCCAAAGUGUAGCUGAAUUUUCUCCCAGCUAUGAUACAUUCUGAGAUACUGGAUCUCAAGUAUUUUAGCUUUCACUUAUUUUCUUGACCAAUUACUUUCUAUCUCACAGCAAAGGUCAGUGGGAAUACACGACAGUAGAAAUAAAGAGGGUAAAAAGAACAAUACCUUAAGUAUAGAUCAUUUUAACCAGCAGCUGAGUAUCUGGUUAAGACCCUUACCUC
This is a long non-coding RNA of Oxyura jamaicensis (ruddy duck), 560 nucleotides long. RefSeq lists it as uncharacterized. NCBI's taxonomy places the organism in Eukaryota, Metazoa, Chordata, Aves, Anseriformes, Anatidae. The record is from RefSeq and is a predicted model, not a curated record. The transcript is spliced from 3 exons.